RNAcentral lists this ribosomal RNA (203 nucleotides) under uncultured bacterium. Its description in RNAcentral is "partial 16S ribosomal RNA". It matches the Rfam family "Bacterial small subunit ribosomal RNA", at positions 1298 to 1500 of the family's 1533-position model. The record is from RNAcentral.
UUGCAGGCUGCAACUCGCCUGCAUGAAGUCGGAAUUGCUAGUAAUCGCAGAUCAGCAUGCUGCGGUGAAUACGUUCCCGGGCCUUGUACACACCGCUCGUCACACCAUGGGAGUCGGUAACACCCGAAGUCGGUAGCCUAACCGUAAGGAGGGCGCCGCCGAAGGUGGGAUUGAUGACUGGGGUGAAGUCGUAACAAGGUACC